CUCAUUUUGUGGGCAGUGUGCACGUAGUCUCCCUAAGAGACCCAGGACCAGCUUGCUUAGGGGAAUCGUCUCCGGGUUCAUCUCUCCAUAGGUGAUGGCUUUGUUAUGCAAGAGCCAAAAAGAUUGGAGAAGUUGUCACAUGAGAUGACGCUGGAGAGAUGAAGCAGGUACGGGGAGUAAAACCUUUCAUCAAGACGGACAUGGAACGAGACAGGAACAGCGUCAGCAAACUAAUACUAAAGACAAAAAACAAUACAUGCAGCAGCGGGGAACAAAGCAGGGGAACUGACAAAUAUAGGAGAGGAAAUAAAUAGAUGAGUGAGUCCAAGUGAGUCCAAUAUCGCUGAUGCGCAUGACGAGGGAAUGCAGGUGUGCGUAAUGGAUGGAGGGAGUGCAUGAUGCAAAGCAACCUGGCGCCCUCAAGUGCCGGGGGGGGGAGGAGUGGGAUCAGACGUAACAUUACACCCCCUCUUGGGGCGCCACUCGGCAUCCCACUUGGGCGACCCGGCCGAGAUAUUGUUCUAUUGUUUCUAGUACUUGUUUGGUAUAUGCUUAACACCCCGGCCGUCCUACAAUCUAAACUAGAUGCCCUCAAUCUCACACAAAUUAUCAAGGAAACUUCUUUUUGAAUGUCUGAUAAUCUACAAUUUACAUAGGAGUGGUUAAAACAUGCUAAUAAUGUUCAUCUGAGUAUAUAAAAAAAAGUUUGUUACACCUCAACUUGUAUGCCAUCCAGCCCUGGAGUUUUCCCAGAUUUAAAGGCUUAAUUGCAUCAAGAAGUUCCUCCUCUGUAAUUUGGCCUUCAUAUGAGUCUUUCUGUACGGCUGUUAAUUUUACUUUAUUAAUAGAAAAAAAAUCCAUACACUUAGCUUCGCUUAAAGGAGAUGGAGGAGACUGAAACGAAAACACAUGCUUAAAGUACUUUGCUUGUCACGUCCUGACCAUAGUAAGAUGUUAUUUUCUAUGGUAGAGUAGGUCAGGGCGUGACGGGGGGUGUUUUUCUAUGUUUUGUAUUUCUAUGUUCAGAUUCUAGUUUUGUAUUUCUAUGUUGGGUUUGUUUGGGAUGGUCUCCAGUUAGAGGCAGCUGGUCCUCGUUGUCUCUAAUUGGAGAUCAUACUUAAGUAGGGUUUUUUUUCCACCUGGGUUUGUGGGAGAUUAAUUUUGAGUCAGUGUACGUGUCACCACUGCGUCACGGUUUGUUGUUUUGUCAUUUAGUUUAUUUAUAUGUAUCGCAUAGUUUCACAGUGUUAAUAAAAUGUGGAACGACACACACGGUGCACUUUGGUCCGCUCCUCCUUACGACAACCGUGACAUUGCUUCCUCCUUCAAAAUGUAGUUUGGUGAAUCAUGGGUGACUCUGUCAUUUGUAACAAGUUUCAGUAAAUUAUUUUUGGUAGUAUUUCUAUGUUGAAGAUUAAAAAAUUAUUUGGUGCAUUUUUCCCAAAAUUCCAUCUAGUUUGCUUUAUUUGUAUAAUAUAUUACACUGGAUCUUUCUUGAAUAAGUUCCUCAGUUUCUUUUUGUUUUACCUCUAACUUAAUCUGAG
RNAcentral lists this long non-coding RNA (1544 nucleotides) under Salmo salar (Atlantic salmon). RNAcentral describes it as "lncRNA (ENSSSAG00000092936.1)". The record is from RNAcentral. Lineage: Eukaryota; Metazoa; Chordata; Actinopteri; Salmoniformes; Salmonidae.